UACGGAGGGAGCUAGCGUUGUUCGGAAUUACUGGGCGUAAAGCGCACGUAGGCGGCUUUGUAAGUUAGAGGUGAAAGCCCGGGGCUCAACUCCGGAACUGCCUUUAAGACUGCAUCGCUUGAAUCCAGGAGAGGUGAGUGGAAUUCCGAGUGUAGAGGUGAAAUUCGUAGAUAUUCGGAAGAACACCAGUGGCGAAGGCGGCUCUCUGGAACGCAACUGACGCUGAGGCGCGAAAGCCAGGGGAGCAAACGGG
Molecule: ribosomal RNA, 253 nt
Filed under: uncultured bacterium
Lineage: Bacteria
Description: partial 16S ribosomal RNA
Rfam family: Bacterial small subunit ribosomal RNA
Source: RNAcentral